GUAUAGAACCUACCUUUUACAGAGGAAUAGCCUUUAGAAAUGAAGAUUAAUGCCUCAUGGUAUUGUAGACUGGCAUCAGUUUAUAAUUAAAGAUUUAUCGGUAAAAGAUGGCUAUGCGUCCUAUUAGUUAGUUGGUAAGGUAACGGCUUACCAAGACAGCGAUAGGUAGGGGUCCUGAGAGGGAGAUCCCCCACACUGGUACUGAGACACGGACCAGACUCCUACGGGAGGCAGCAGUGAGGAAUAUUGGACAAUGGAGGAGACUCUGAUCCAGCCAUGCCGCGUGUAGGAAGAAUGCCCUAUGGGUUGUAAACUACUUUUAUACAGGAAGAAACACUGGUAUGUAUACCAGCUUGACGGUAC
RNAcentral lists this ribosomal RNA (363 nucleotides) under uncultured Polaribacter sp. RNAcentral describes it as "bacterial SSU rRNA". It matches the Rfam family "Bacterial small subunit ribosomal RNA", at positions 117 to 478 of the family's 1533-position model. The record is from RNAcentral. Lineage: Bacteria; Pseudomonadati; Bacteroidota; Flavobacteriia; Flavobacteriales; Flavobacteriaceae.